Molecule: long non-coding RNA, 3234 nt
Organism: Columba livia (rock pigeon)
Lineage: Eukaryota; Metazoa; Chordata; Aves; Columbiformes; Columbidae
Exons: 3
Source: RefSeq, a predicted model, not a curated record
GCCAGGGAUCUGCUGAGUAACAGGCCAGGACGCUGCGAAAACCUCCAGCCUUUGGGGUCGCCUGAAAAACCCGGCUCCCCGUCAGUCAAUCACUGCAACUCAAUUAAUGUAUCUGGGUCAUAAAAAUGGUUUACGGGAGCCAGAGCCGGGUUACGAAACGCAGCGCGGCGGAUCUACCGGGCGGCGGUGGAGGUCAGCACCCGGUGCGCACAGAUGGGUGAUGCAUGGGGAUGUUAUCUGAACCUGGGACCAGGAGACAAAGAACCUGAUAUGUCAUGGCCUUCCACUCCCGCAGCUGAUAUGUGUGAUGCUCCCCCAGUCUGCACUGCUGCCAACAAAAGCAACACUUGAAUUUUGGCUGAUAAUUCAACUGGAAGAAUUUCAAAGCAGUUUACAGAUUAGCAGAAGAACAACUCGAACAUGAAUAGUAACAGAGACUAAGCAAGACAACAGAAGGAGAAAAUGCAAGAUCUCUGUAAGAAAACACUGUGCAUCUCACUGGCAAUCAGCCAAGUCCCUUAAGUACACCAGUCUGCCCCUUACCUCUGCAGCCACCACACCCACAAAACACAAGCUUCAGGAAAGUGAAACAAGAUGUUGUCCUGGUUUUGUUAAAAACAAGUUUCUCUUUCAGUGAAUUUUGCCUGUCAGCUAAAGCCUUCAUAUUAACUGCAUUUUCCUGGAGAACCAGACACAUGUUUUGGUAAACCCAGCAAUGGAAUGCAAACUUAUUGAUAAGCAUGGAUGGACAUCUCGUGAGAGGGGCGACGAGAAGCAAGUGACCAAGAAACUGACCAACUGUGUAUAACAUUCCAUUCACGUGAAUGCUUCAUAUAAAAGUGCGAGAUCACGAGGAUCUCGUCCCUUUUUCCCUUCUGCUUAUGGCCAACAUUAGGAGAGGACCUUGCUAGUCGUCCCUGCAAACUGAGGCCUAGUGAGAGACUGAAUCCAGCUCCUGUUGGCUGCAGAGUCUAAUCCAGGACUUUGGUUGCCGGCUCUGCAGUUGCUGAGACUUUCAAGAUUGGUUUUGUAUAUUUUGUAUUAUUUUCUCUAUUCUUAUUAGUAGCAUUAGUAAAACAUCUUUAAUUUUUUCCAACUCUCUCCUCUCUGUCCUUCUUUUCCUCCCAAUCGCCUCUCCUUAGUGGAAAGGGGGGAGAGGGAGGGGUGGAAAGGGGGGAGAGGGAGGGGCAAAAAGGGGGAAGCGGGGGGGGAAGAGGGGGUUAACAAUACAUCUGCCAGGGUUUUAUUGUCACCCCGCAAUCUUAACCCUCGACAGAUGUGAAGUGGGCAGACCAUUUACAUCCCCUCUUUUCGAGCUGUGCUUGGAAGUGGAGCUUUCUGUGAACUCAUCUUACAUUGCAAAUCAUCAAAGCAUUUUGUCAUUCUUUUCUGGUGCCUCCUCGUUACGCAUUUGUAAUGCCUCAUAUGUAUUUUGAGACCUGCCUACUGUAUUUAUUCUUUUAUGCCUGUAUUUUUUGCUUACAUCAUCCUUAUCCUUGAUAAUUUCUAACUCCAGCACUCAUUUCACCAUUAGAUGAUAUGGAUCAUGUCCCCAUGACUCCCUGGCCAAAAGUAUUCAGAUGCAACAGUUCCUGAGAAAUUUUUUUAUAGAGAUGGCCUAUCCUGCAUGGGAGGUAAGGAAGGAGGAAAGAUAAUACAAUCCAUUUCCUCUUCUGUUGCUUUUACAACUUGUUGAUCAUCUUAAAGAUAAGUGAUUUUUUUUCCCCCUUUAAGUAAGUUGGCAAAUGUCCAGAAAAUAAGAUGCAUUGAUCAUAAAUCUGGAGAUGCUAGAGACAUGAGAGACUUAGUGGUCCCUAAGAUUAUCUCUCGAGGCAGUGUUCCUAAAAAUCCAUUAUUCUUUCCAGGUCUCUGUCAUAGCUAGUGAAUCUUCUACUCUAUCUUUAAAAAGCUUGGUGAUAUUUCCUUUACUUUCCUUUCUAGAUGUAAAAGAAACAAUAGGAGACCCAGGCUGUUUUCAGCUCAUGCCUAAUAAGGGAAAAAUUAGAAGGCUCCAGAGGUGUCACCAGAGCAGUUUUCUCUCAGCUCUGAUCAGUAAGAAUGAGCAAAGAAGAUACAGCUUUGCCAUAGCCUGCUGGGUCCAUUGUUUUUCUUUGUUAGCAAACUACAAUAUCUGUGUUCAUAGCACAAGAAUGCAGCCAACAAAUCCUAGACAUACCAUAUAUUUCAUGUGUUUAGCAACCCAUAAAAGUUGAGAGUAGCAUCUGAUUUAUCUAGGCAUAUGGCUCCAGCUGUUCUGAGGAACAUAUAUUUUUAAUCAAAGGUGAUGUUCCCUAAAUUAAGUCUUUCUUUGAAUCUCCUUGCUCAGGGAUAUAUUUACAGCACUAUUUGUAAAAUACUAUCUACUUUGUUAAAAUGUUUCGAAUGCUUUGUUAAUGCAGUGUGGUGGGACUUUCCUGUAAUCAUUGUUUCUUCCCAAAGGAAACUAACUGGAUGAUUAGUAAUUGCUGGAUUAUCAAACAGUGCACAAGCUCAUUUUCUGGUCUAAGCAAGUUAUUAGAGUUUCAUAAAUGCACAGCCACAUACAUUAUUCUACUAUAUUAACCUAUUACUAAAGAGACCAUGGAGGAGAGGACAAAUGAUUGAUAGAGGAACAGAGCAAUGUUUACGUUCUUAAGUGAUGUGGCAUUUUACUUGCUUGCUGCGUAUGGUGUUGCUUCUUUCAGGUGUGAAUGCAACAGGUGCUCCAUCUCCUCCUCCCUUCCCCCACUCCUGUGUCCGACAACAUACUGAUACAAGGAUAAUGACAAGUGAGGAUGUUAUACAAAUACUUGAAGUUCAGCUCGGCCUGGUUUUAAAUAGUGAGUUCAACCUUUACUUAUCUGUGACCAUCCAGCAUAGUGGUUUAAUGGUGCCCUCCCGCUCACUCUCCUGCCAGCUUUCUUUUUGUCCCUGAAGCUUAAAUCCUGAUAUAACACAGAGAUGAAAAAUCUGCAAGCUGGUCUCCAUUGGAAAAAAAAGUCUAUUGGUCUUCACAGGCCUCCAUAAAUCACUAGAUGACCUUCUUUCUUCUAGAAAGGAAAUCGAAGAAGGAGCAUGACAAAUGCAUAUUUUUGACUGGUUCAUGUCUAAUUUUAACUACCAGGUGAAUGUAUUGGAAAGACCAGGCAAAGGUUUCUUAGAGGUAUUUUUUUUUUUCCAGUUGAAAAUGCUAGUUUGACAAAACUGAUGUUUUUUACUGGUCCAUAUGGCUUUCAUUAAAAUAUUUGCAGAUGA